UACGUAGGCAGCAAGCGUUGUUCGGAAUUACUGGGCGUAAAGAGUGUGUAGGCGGUGCUCUAAGUUCGGUGUGAAAUCUCCCGGCUCAACUGGGAGGGUGCGCCGGAAACUGGAAUGCUUGAGCGUGGGAGAGGAAAGCGGAAUUCCUGGUGUAGCGGUGAAAUGCGUAGAUAUCAGGAAGAACACCCGUGGCGAAGGCGGCUCUCUGGGACGGUACUGACGCUGAGACGCGAAAGCGUGGGGAGCGAACAGG
Molecule: ribosomal RNA, 253 nt
Filed under: uncultured bacterium
Lineage: Bacteria
Description: partial 16S ribosomal RNA
Rfam family: Bacterial small subunit ribosomal RNA
Source: RNAcentral